This is a long non-coding RNA of Myotis davidii, 2727 nucleotides long. RefSeq lists it as uncharacterized. The record is from RefSeq and is a predicted model, not a curated record. The transcript has 2 exons. NCBI's taxonomy places the organism in Eukaryota, Metazoa, Chordata, Mammalia, Chiroptera, Vespertilionidae.
AGGUGAGCGAACCUUUUCUUAGGGGGAGGGGAAGAGAAACACCAUUUAACCCACCAAACCUCACAGCCAACUCUGUUCCAGUGACCUAUUGCUGUACAAUAAAUGAGCCCAAAACUCAGUGACCUCAAACAGCAAUCGCCGGUUUCUUUGAGUGAGGAAUUUGGGGAGGGCUUGGCUGGCUGGUUCUGGCUUCCAAUCUGUCAUACCGCGGCAAUCAGACCGUGGAUGGUGCUGGGACAGUCCGGGGCUGAGGCAGCUGGGACUAGGCAAACAUCGUCCUCUCUUCCUGUGGUCUCAGGACCUCUCAGUGUGGCCUCCCCACGGGGCUAGUUGGGCUUCCUCACAGCAUGGCAGCCUGGGGGAGGUCAGACCACUUCCUGCAGAGCGAGGCAUGCAGAAUCACUGAGGGUCACCUCCACGGUGCUCUGCCAUUCAGGACAGCCUCCAAGGCCCUCCCUUCCCCCCAGAGGCAUGACAGCUCUCAGCAGCAGCCCAUCUCCCUUUACAGAUGCGGCCACUGAGGCUCAGCAAGGCAAGUAACAGCCAAGUUACUCGAGCUUGGGGCAGAGCCACACCUGAGCCCAGGAAGGUGACUUCAGGGCCCGUAACGACAGCACGUACUUGGCACCUAUGGAUGCUUUCUUGUCUCCAACGAUCUGUCCCUUCAACCUGGGAAAAUGGGCCCGAUCAGGGCCCAGGCUGCUGUCUAGGAUGAUCUGGGGACAAUAGGGAUGGUGUGAGCGUGAAGGAGGCCUGUAGACGGGUCGCCAGGUGCCCUGGCUUCCAGCCCUGGCUCGGCCACGCCUGUUGGUGUGGUCUCGGUCAGCUUCCUGUUCUGUAACAGGAGGAACCAGGCCUGCCCCGCUGCCUUUUAUGGUUGUCACGGGUGACAGGAGGCUCAAUAUGUUGGAGUGCUUGCUAAGCUGCUUAAUGCUGGUCAAAUAAAAGGCCUCGCCUGUCUCUCUGAGUUGCUCAGAGGGCCAGGAGCAUCUGGCUGCUUGGCAGAUGUUGAUUUUCAUUUAAGGGUUUCCUACCAACCCCAGAAGGAGCAGCAGGUCCGGCAACUCUGCUCUGCAACCAAGGAUGGUUACCCAGGAGACCAGGCGGUCGAGUCAUCAAUGAGGGACUGUGCACUUUGGAGCUUGCGGGUCCUUGUUGCCCCAGAGUAGCCAGUGAAUAAGACUGGGGAAGAGAUGAAUCUUCCAGAGGAUUCGUGUCACGGAGGGCUGUGUAAACAAAGGACCCCGAAUUCAGUGCUUAACCUGGUGAUUCAUUUUUAUCUGUCGUGGUUGUGUAGGUUGACAGGGCUCAGCUGACCAGUUCUUCCUCAGCGAACGGGGCGGGGUCUCUAUACAUUUGCAAUCGGGGAGCAGCUGGGUCUGUGGUCAUCUGAAGGCCCGACUGGGUUGGGUGUCCCAGCGGGCAGCUCAGGGCUCUUCCACGUGGCCUCUCUCUCUCCAGCAGUAUGGCCCCAGGUUCUUAAGGGGCAGCUUUUGACUCCAACGGUCAGUAGAAAUAGCCAGUCCCUCAAGGGCUGGGUGCAGGUAAGGGUUGGCCUCACUUUGGCCAUAUUCCGUUGGCCAAAGAGUCACAAAGCAGCCAGAUACUAGGAUGUGGAGGGAUGGACUCAACCUCUCAGUGGGGGCCUGGGGUGUCCACCCACAAUCUCCAAAGAAUCUUUGUGCCCCUAACAGUCCGUUUUCCCAGUAGAGACUGGCAGGUGUACAAGAGACGGGCCCCUGGCUGAGCUCAUGGUGGGUCAGGUAGCUGAACUCUUCCUCUCCAGAAAGGGCAAACAGUCAUUCCAACGGGCUGCCUCCCUGCCCUGUCAUCUGUCUGUGGAGUUUCCCAAGCCUCCUCGCCCACUCCCAUUCUGCCCUUCUUGUGCCUCUUGUCAAUUUACUCUUCUCGCCCCUUUUGACAAAAGCAAAUCGGUGUGUCCUGGGGCAUGUGGUGGCUUCUCUGAGCCUCGGUUUCCCCCCCGUAACAUGGGGCACCUCCUAGGGUUCCUAUGAGUAUCCUACGGUUUAACUCAGCAGUUCCUAGCAUGGGUCUGACACAGGGAAGGUGCCGGGUGAGUAAGCCAACAGCCCCAUCACAGGCCUGGUCUUGCCCACAUCUAUCAGGUCUUGCGUUAAAUGCUUUCCAUAGGUUAUCUGGUCGAAACCUUCGGGCUCCAGGAACUAAGUACUAUUUUUAUCUCCAUUUCGUAAAACAAGGAAACUGAAGCUCGAGAGGUUAUGGAACUUGCUCAAGGUCCUUCGGUUAGUAAGUGGCAGCGGCUCUGAGACUUGAACCUUGAGGUGUUUCCCACUGUCGCCCAUUCUUUAGCCCCAGGUGAUGUGAGUAAGAAUAAAAACACCUCUGCUCUUGGCCCCUCCCCAGGCUUCCAGACUGUUCUCUAGACUCACAUACCCGCUGGCUGCAAACAUGUGCUCACUGGGGAGGUAUCUGUUCCGGUUUAAAUACACUGGCCAGAGGUGGAGUGACUUGCCGGGUGGGGUGCGGGUGCUCCUUUCAAGCAAAUAUCUGCUUCUUCCCCCCCAGAAACUUUCCUCCUCUCUGCGGCGGUGGACAGCCAGGAACCUGGAUGGCUACGGCAGGUCUGCGGGAGUUUAGCGAGGAUGGCCAAUUCUCAGGGAUGCUCAGAUCUGCCCUGGCAGGGCCAGCAAACUACACUCAAAACCUGGCCCACCGAUUGUUUUAUAAAUAAAGUUUUAUUAGAAC